UACGAAGGGGGCUAGCGUUGUCCGGAAUUACUGGGCGUAAAGAGCUCGUAGGUGGUUUGUCGCGUUGUUCGUGAAAUCUCACGGCUUAACUGUGAGCGUGCGGGCGAUACGGGCAGACUAGAGUACUGCAGGGGAGAUUGGAAUUCCUGGUGUAGCGGUGGAAUGCGCAGAUAUCAGGAGGAACACCGAUGGCGAAGGCAGAUCUCUGGGCCGUAACUGACGCUGAGGAGCGAAAGCAUGGGGAGCGAACAGG
RNAcentral lists this ribosomal RNA (253 nucleotides) under uncultured bacterium. RNAcentral's name for it is "partial 16S ribosomal RNA". It matches the Rfam family "Bacterial small subunit ribosomal RNA", at positions 524 to 776 of the family's 1533-position model. The record is from RNAcentral.